AUCUUCGUGCAUAGGCAAACUUAUUGUAGCUAGACUGUACAAAGUAUAUCAAGAUAUGCCAAAUAUUGAGCUUAACUUCACCUGUUUGAGAGACGGUGUUUCUUUUAGCUUGCAACACCAUGAAAAAAUUACUGAGACACUAGGAAUGCUGUGAACUGAGAAAGUUUGGGACCUUUGGCAUAACUAAAUCCUUCAUUUAACAGUGUUGUGAACCACUUGUCAUGGGAUAACCAAAAUUAAACCUGGAAUCGCAGAAGAAACAAAUUUUUUGAAGAAAUUGGAUGUACUUUUUUAAAAUUUUUCAUUCAACUAAAACUUUGUUAACUGUUUCUUGGUUGUGGUCUUCUCUAAAUUGUAAUCUUUGGCAUUCACUUCCAAAGUAUCCACCACUAAACUUCAUAACAUUUAUUGUGUCUCUUCAUCAUUAAACUUUGAUGAAUU
RNAcentral lists this long non-coding RNA (441 nucleotides) under Homo sapiens (human). RNAcentral's name for it is "non-protein coding lnc-AGR3-1:3". The record is from RNAcentral. Lineage: Eukaryota; Metazoa; Chordata; Mammalia; Primates; Hominidae.